Camelus ferus (Wild Bactrian camel) is the source of this 72-nucleotide transfer RNA. It matches the Rfam family "tRNA". From Rfam's summary of the family: Transfer RNA (tRNA) molecules are approximately 80 nucleotides in length. Their secondary structure includes four short double-helical elements and three loops (D, anti-codon, and T loops). Further hydrogen bonds mediate the characteristic L-shaped molecular structure. tRNAs have two regions of fundamental functional importance: the anti-codon, which is responsible for specific mRNA codon recognition, and the 3' end, to which the tRNAs corresponding amino acid is attached (by aminoacyl-tRNA synthetases). tRNAs cope with the degeneracy of the genetic code in two manners: having more than one tRNA (with a specific anti-codon) for a particular amino acid; and 'wobble' base-pairing, i.e. permitting non-standard base-pairing at the 3rd anti-codon position. The record is from Rfam. Lineage: Eukaryota; Metazoa; Chordata; Mammalia; Artiodactyla; Camelidae.
GAGGAUAUAGCUCAGUGGUAGAGCAUGUGCUUAGCAUGCACCAGGUCCUGGGUUCAAACCCCACUGCCUCCA